Molecule: ribosomal RNA, 309 nt
Filed under: Triticum aestivum (bread wheat)
Lineage: Eukaryota; Viridiplantae; Streptophyta; Magnoliopsida; Poales; Poaceae
Description: partial small subunit ribosomal RNA
Source: RNAcentral
AUGGGGAGGUGGAAGAACCGGUCCUUCAAAUAUAUCAAGCAUAGGCUAUGGGCCAAGGUGAGAAGCUGGAUAGAAAAGUGUAUGGCCUCAGCUGUAAGAGAGGUCUUGAUCAAGUCCGUCGCUCAAGCUGUCCUGACAUUCUCUAUGUCCUUACUUCCUAUUACCAAGAGUAAGAAUAGUGAAAGAAAGGUUGCAUGGGUCUCUUCCGACAAAAUGACAAUGCCAAAGUACCAAUGGGGUUUAGGCUUCCGUGAUAUAAAAUUGUUCAACCUGACCAUGCUGGCCAAACAAGCGUACGCAGGACCCUGA